AUCCUUUUGUAGUUCAUAAGCGUCAUAAUUGGGUGUUCAAGCCAUUGUGUGACAUGUGCCAUCCUUAAACCUUGUUACAAUGCCAGCACAUUAUCUGUCUGAUG
This is a small nucleolar RNA of Hyaena hyaena (striped hyena), 104 nucleotides long. RefSeq annotates it as small nucleolar RNA U13. The transcript has a single exon. The record is from RefSeq and is a predicted model, not a curated record. NCBI's taxonomy places the organism in Eukaryota, Metazoa, Chordata, Mammalia, Carnivora, Hyaenidae.